GACGAACGCUGGCGGCGUGCUUAACACAUGCAAGUCGAACGGACAGGCCCUGCUCUUGUGGGGUUCUCGAUUGGCGAACGGGUGUGUAACACGUGUGUAUCCUGCCCUUGACUGUGGGGGAACUCUUGGAAACUGGGGCGCAUACCGGAUAUGAUCUCUUGCUGCAUGUGGUGCGAUGGAAAGUUUCGGCGGUUGUGGAUCGACUCGCUGCUUAUCAGCUUGUUUGUGUGGUAGUGGCUUACCAAGGCUUUGACGGGUAGCCUGCCUGAGAGGGUGACCGGGGACAUUGGGACUGAGAGAGGGACCAGACUCCUACGGGAGGCAGUAGGGGAGAACCUUACACAACGAGCGGAAGCCUGAGGUAAAAAUGCCGGGUGCGGAAUGACGGCCUACGGGUUGUAAACAGCUUUCGACUGAGACGAAGAGUGAGUGACGGUAACGAGUAAAGAAGCACCGGCUAACUACGUG
This 468-nucleotide ribosomal RNA is filed under the name uncultured bacterium. RNAcentral's name for it is "partial 16S ribosomal RNA". It matches the Rfam family "Bacterial small subunit ribosomal RNA", at positions 28 to 507 of the family's 1533-position model. The record is from RNAcentral.